RNAcentral lists this ribosomal RNA (324 nucleotides) under Triticum aestivum (bread wheat). Its description in RNAcentral is "partial small subunit ribosomal RNA". The record is from RNAcentral. Lineage: Eukaryota; Viridiplantae; Streptophyta; Magnoliopsida; Poales; Poaceae.
AUGAGAGAAGAGCAAGCACCUAUGUCGGCGAGGAGAUCCUCGUCGCGGCCGUGGCAGGGCGUCUGUGCAGCUGCACCUGUCUUGGGAACAGCACGUCGUCGUGGCCGUCGUCGAGUGACUCGGCGACCUCGUCGUCGCGGCCGUAGUCGGAUGCCUCGGCGGCUGCGCAGGGCAGCGACGUCGCGGCCGUCGUCGGUGCGGCCGUCGUCGGAUGCCUCGGCGGCUGCGCAGGGCAGCGACGUCGCGGCCGUUGUCGGGUGCCUCAGCGGCUGCGCAGGGGCAUGUAAUCUGGACGUCGAGCCUGGAUUGAUUCCGGCAAAUUGA